RNAcentral lists this ribosomal RNA (382 nucleotides) under Callionymus valenciennei. RNAcentral describes it as "partial 16S ribosomal RNA". It matches the Rfam family "Bacterial large subunit ribosomal RNA", at positions 2039 to 2579 of the family's 2925-position model. The record is from RNAcentral. Lineage: Eukaryota; Metazoa; Chordata; Actinopteri; Syngnathiformes; Callionymidae.
AAAUUGAUCUCCCCGUGCAGAAGCUGGGAUAAUACCAUAAGACGAGAAGACCCUAUGGAGCUUUAGACAUAUCAGGUUUACGUCACUGCCCCCUAGAUAAAGGAGUGAACUAAUUAUAUACCUUGAAAAUGUUUUUGGUUGGGGCGACCACGGGAAAAGAAAUAACUCCCACGGCGAAGAAGUACAAACUUUUAAAGCUAAGACAAUCAAGUUUAAGCCAUAGAAAUUCUAACAAAUGAUCCGGCUUGCCGAUCAACGAAACGAGUUACCCUAGGGAUAACAGCGCAAUCCCCUUUAAGAGACCUUAUCAGCAAGGGGGUUUACGACCUCGAUGUUGGAUCAGGACAUCCUAAUGGUGCAGCCGCUAUUAAGGGUUCGUUUG